Calidris pygmaea (Spoon-billed sandpiper) is the source of this 181-nucleotide unclassified non-coding RNA. NCBI's taxonomy places the organism in Eukaryota, Metazoa, Chordata, Aves, Charadriiformes, Scolopacidae. The record is from Ensembl.
UUGACAGCCCAGGAUAUUUAAAUUCUCUUUUUAUGUUCAAAUCGGGUACAGCAGAGGCCCUGGUAAUGAUAGCUGUCUCCAGCAGUGCCUCACCAGCGUCUCUCAACCCUGAUCUGCAGGAACCACCUGGAGGGUUGAAAGACCGUAUCGGCCCCGUGAUCCAUUCAAGCUUCCAGCCCCC